UACGUAGGGUGCAAGCGUUGUCCGGAAUUAUUGGGCGUAAAGAGCUCGUAGGCGGCCGGUUGCGUCUGCUGUGAAAUCCCGGGGCUUAACCCCGGGCGUGCAGUGGAUACGGGCCGGCUGGAGGCAGGCAGGGGAGAAUGGAAUUCCCGGUGUAGCGGUGAAAUGCGCAGAUAUCGGGAGGAACACCGGUGGCGAAGGCGGCAUCCUGGACCAAUUCUGACGCUGAGGAGCGAAAGCCAGGGGAGCAAACGGG
This 253-nucleotide ribosomal RNA is filed under the name uncultured prokaryote. RNAcentral's name for it is "partial 16S ribosomal RNA". It matches the Rfam family "Bacterial small subunit ribosomal RNA", at positions 524 to 776 of the family's 1533-position model. The record is from RNAcentral.